This 450-nucleotide long non-coding RNA is filed under the name Felis catus (domestic cat). RNAcentral describes it as "lncRNA (ENSFCAG00000049282.1)". Lineage: Eukaryota; Metazoa; Chordata; Mammalia; Carnivora; Felidae. The record is from RNAcentral.
UACUUGUUUAUUUUCUAUUUCCCUCUGUUAGGUAACAGCUCCAUAAGAUCAGAGGAUGCAUCUUCUAUUCACCAAGUGUGUUACAGAAUGUUUGAUGCCUACUGAGCCUUCAGAUAAAUGCUGAAAGACUAAACCUUUCCAAGUCUAACAACCCUUUGUAUCAGGCCUAUCCAGCUUUGGAGGCUGCGUUCUGGAGAUCUUUGAACACAGCUGGACUCUCAGGAUUUUCUGUCAGCAACUUACAGUUCCUCAAUUCGUUCAAGCUUGCAUUCAACAAAUAGUUGAGGACCUAUGGUGAGGCAGUCGCUUGCCUCCUGUGAACAGGUACAUUCGAGGUAAUAAUAAUGAUGAUAUAAUAAUAUAAUAUAAUAAUAUAAUAAUAAUAAUGAUGAUGAACAAGACAAAAAUCCCUGCUUUCCCUACUCUGUGUGUGGUAGGUGUCAGAUGAUG